Long non-coding RNA from Ostrea edulis (European flat oyster), 1603 nucleotides. RefSeq lists it as uncharacterized. NCBI's taxonomy places the organism in Eukaryota, Metazoa, Mollusca, Bivalvia, Ostreida, Ostreidae. The record is from RefSeq and is a predicted model, not a curated record. The transcript has 3 exons.
AAAUAAUCGACUGUAAACUUGAUAUUACUUAUUGAUUUAAUGUGAAUGGAUGUUGUGGCUACGUCCCAAAGAAAAGCUUUUGAACCUUCAAUUGUACUUGCUGAAAUUACACCGGUUUAAAGUAAAUCAAUGUCAAGAGGCACAAAAGAAGUCAUCCUGGUAUGACAGAAGAUGCUAUCAAACUAGAUGGUAAACGAGACAAUGCUAAAGAAUCAACUCCAUGUAAUAGUAAUUUGUGGAAGUAGAAGACGCGGGAUAGUUAGAGGACGAAUGGGCGAGGCAGGACUAUGGAGGGAUAAUGUCUCAGGCAAUGUCUCUACUAACACUGGCGGUAGUAGUGAGGAAAGUGACACGACAGGUGACCAAACCAGGCAGGCGAAAAGUGCCAGUAAAGAUCAGCUAUUGGAGGGUAGAGUCAUUUGGAAACAGACGACACCUGCUAAACCAUAUGAUUCUUCUUUCUACCAGUAAGCCAAAAUUUGGUUCAAAAUGGUCUAGUUGCUGAAAAUGGUACACAUUAGACAUUGAAGUUCAUCACAAGUGAUUUUCCACGUUUCGAAUACCACUCUGAGCUGGUACAAAACAUAGUAGAUUAUCUGGAAGCAACAGACAAGCACACAACCACCUCCUUUAAACCGGAAAAUCCCUAAACCACUGUCCUUGUUUCUGAAAGUAUGACAGACGAAGGAUAUAUAUACAGCACGGAUAGGUUAACCCACUUCCACCCCUACCAGGGACAAGUCUAAAACUUGCUUUCGAUGACGCUGGAAUUCCCACCAUUCUGAUUGGAUUUCAUUUGUCAAACUGGUGUAUGCCGAUUGUAUGACAUGUCAAACGUUGUAGUAUUUGAUUUUCCAUUUGUAUUGUAUACAUUUUCAUUUGUAUUUUUUUCGUUUGUAUGUUUGUAAUAUUAUUUUCAUUCGCAUUAUAUAAUUUUACAUUUGUAUUGUAUCCGAGGGAUCGUUUAUAUUGGUUUGAUUGGUUUAAAUCGUUGUUCAAUUAUCAAGUCAUAGAAUAUAUAUUUUCCAUUACCACUGUUUCCGUGCGGAUUUGGGUUAGAUUAGAUCCUCAAUACCCCUUGGUUGUCGUAAGAGAUGACUGAAUAGGGCGGUCUUUAGGAAGAGACUCGAAAAUCCGAGUUCCUGUGUCACAGCAGGUGUGGCACGAUAAAGGUCCCUCCCUGCUCAAAGGCAGUAAGGCCGAGCAUAUCUCUAACUUUUGCAGCCCUUCGCCAGGAACGGUGACGUCUCCAUAUGGGGGGAAAUUUCACAAUACAAAACCAACCAACCACAACUACUGUUUACCUAUGUAUGGCUGUAAAUUCUACUGAUUUAACCUCGUGUUUAACUAGUCCUUCACGGAAACAUGGGACCAGUUUAUCUUGUGAUUCUAAAAGCAACCCGGUAUCAUAUAGUGAGACCUCCUCCGGAAGACUGGCUAUAUAGUGAGGCUUCUCCCCGGAAGACUUCCCCUUUAUAGUGACAAUCCCCCCUUUACUUUAGUAUUCGGAAUAAUAUUAGUCCUUUCGCUAUAACUUACUAACUGCGGGAACUUCAGUGGUAUUUCACUGCUCUCAAUGGCAGGCAAAAUUCUAGCACGCAUC